Molecule: ribosomal RNA, 468 nt
Filed under: uncultured bacterium
Lineage: Bacteria
Description: partial 16S ribosomal RNA
Rfam family: Bacterial small subunit ribosomal RNA
Source: RNAcentral
GACGAACGCUGGCGGCGUGCUUAACACAUGCAAGUCGAACGGAAAGGCCCUGCUUUUGUGGGGUGCUCGAGUGGCGAACGGGUGAGUAACACGUGAGUAACCUGCCCUUGACUUUGGGAUAACUUCAGGAAACUGGGGCUAAUACCGGAUAGGAGCUCCUGCUGCAUGGUGGGGGUUGGAAAGUUUCGGCGGGUGGGGAUGGACUCGCGGCUUAUCAGCUUGUUGGUGGGGUAGUGGCUUACCAAGGCUUUGACGGGUAGCCGUCCUGAGAGGGUGACCGGCCACAUUGGGACUGAGAUACGGCCCAGACUCCUACGGGAGGCAGCAGUGGGGAAUAUUGCACAAUGGGCGGAAGCCUGAUGCAGCAACGCCGCGUGCGGGAUGACGGCCUUCGGGUUGUAAACCGCUUUCGCCUGUGACGAAGCGUGAGUGACGGUAAUGGGUAAAGAAGCACCGGCUAACUACGUG